CAUUGCAGCACCUGUAGCAACGUGGCGCCCAUGGCAUCGCAUCACCUGCAGCACUUACAGCACCUACAGCACUGCAGCACACUCAGUAUUGCAAUGUUGUGGCUUGGAGCACAGAGCCAGGCUGGCAGCAGGAGAAGGGCAGCUGUGAGCACAGUGCUCUGAUAGGAACAAAUUGCACCUGCUGGGCUCCGGGCCAGCACAGACAGACAUGCCUGCAAGGAAGCAGGAGAAGGAAGCUGAGGCCUCAUGGAUCAAAGGUAUUGGAAUGGGAAGUGGAACGGAGGCAAGCACACCCCCUGCCUUGCUGUCUCUGGUGCCUUUGGGAUGCAAAAGAUGCUGUGGCUGGCAGAUCCAUUCCGCUCUCUGACCAGAUGGAACACCUGAUGGCUGCAAAAUGGAGCCGUCCCCUCUGGAAACUAUUAUUUCUUCCCUGGAUGUGACACGUUUCAGGUCUGAGUGGCUGCUGACCAGGAAGCAGCAAAGGCAGCACUUCACCCAGCUGCUCCUCAGCCCCCUGCCAAGGAGCAGAGAUUGGGGCAAUGUGGUGCUCACUCCUGCUGUCAGCUCAGAGCAAAGCAGCUUCUGCUGAGUGAGAGUCUGUGGUUUUAGUUUGUGGUUCUGUGCCAAUGUAUAUCCGAGCUCACAGGGCACAUUGCUGCUGGGUAUCUCAUGGGUCCACACUGAGCCUGGGAAAGAAAGGCUGCUGAGGGGUCCUGGUGGGAGCUCUCAGUGCUUCAAGGCUGUGUCUGAUGAUGGCUGGCAGCAUCCCUUGAUCCAUCCAGCUGAGCCAGCAGAUCCAAGGAGGAGUGACAUGGUUACAUGCCUGCAGCUGGCAGGUGCACACAGAUGUGCACACAUGCAUGCAACGGGUCCCAGUGAGCUCGCAUGGCAAAGCAAGGCAAGUCAAGGCAGUCUCUUUCCAGCCCUGCAUGGGAGACGGGCAGCAUCGCAGCGGACAGCCGCUCCCCUCCCGGCGCUGCACAUCGUCUGCCCGCAGGCUCCAUCUGGUGGAAAAUCCUCACCCAUAAAGCGGAGAAGAAUCCAGCCCUCGGUCCAGGACCGUGGGACCGCGGCUCAGGGAGCAUCCCGGCUUCCAAACCGCUUGGUAAGGCAAUGCGUCCCUGGACGGUUACUCCGAGAAAUAAAUGUGGUGGAAUUUAUUUCAACAGAUGGAGGACGAUUUUCUCCCGGCCGUUUAAGUGACACAUCGUGCACCUCCCUUCGCCAGCAUCCCUGUGCAGCAGAUUGA
Molecule: long non-coding RNA, 1249 nt
Filed under: Coturnix japonica (Japanese quail)
Lineage: Eukaryota; Metazoa; Chordata; Aves; Galliformes; Phasianidae
Description: lncRNA (ENSCJPG00005009343.1)
Source: RNAcentral